Saccostrea echinata is the source of this 267-nucleotide long non-coding RNA. RefSeq lists it as uncharacterized. The transcript is spliced from 3 exons. NCBI's taxonomy places the organism in Eukaryota, Metazoa, Mollusca, Bivalvia, Ostreida, Ostreidae. The record is from RefSeq and is a predicted model, not a curated record.
UGUUAUUACCAGCUGAUUAAGGAGGAGUAGUGUAAGUGUCAGAUGGGUACGAACGUCAUCUUGUGACAGCAUCACCUUUGUUUGGCUAAAGUACAAGAGAACUGCAGCAUCUAAGACUACAUGUACAUUGACUUUGAAUAAUCUACCCGGUAUAUCCUCAAAAAGGCAACUCAAAUACAGAAAGUGCAUAUAAUUUGGAAAAGAGACCAUCAAUCCACUGGGGGGUAUCGCAUGAAUGCAAUGAUUAUAGAAUAUUGUAAGGCUGGA